GUGACAAGCUUAAACGGCCGCGGUAUCUUAACCGUGCAAAGGUAGCACAAUCACUUGUUCUUUAAAUAAGGACUAGUAUGAACGGCACCACGAGGGUUCUACUGUCUCCCCCUUUUAAUCAAUGAAACUAAUCUCCCCGUGAAGAAGCGGGGAUAUCCAUAUAAGACGAGAAGACCCCAUGGAGCUUUAAACUCAGUAUCACUUGCAUUUCAUAAUACCACUUAAGCCCAGCAAACCUGCCUACUAGUUUUUGGUUGGGGUGACCACGGAGUAAAACAAAACCUCCAUGAUGAACGGAACUAGCCUCCUAAUCUAAGAGCCACAACUCACAGAAUCAAAACAUUGACCCAAUUGACCCAAUUCAUUUGAGCAACGGACCAAGUUACCCUGGGGAUAACAGCGCAAUCCAUUUCAAGAGCCCCUAUCGCCAAAUGGGUUUACGACCUCGAUGUUGGAUCAGGGUACCCCAGUGGUGCAGCCGCUACUAAAGGUUCGUUUGUUCAACGAUUAAAACCCUACGUGAUCUGAG
RNAcentral lists this ribosomal RNA (529 nucleotides) under Copiula sp. 3235. RNAcentral describes it as "partial 16S ribosomal RNA". It matches the Rfam family "Bacterial large subunit ribosomal RNA", at positions 1910 to 2609 of the family's 2925-position model. Lineage: Eukaryota; Metazoa; Chordata; Amphibia; Anura; Microhylidae. The record is from RNAcentral.